This is a long non-coding RNA of Helianthus annuus (common sunflower), 1091 nucleotides long. RefSeq lists it as uncharacterized. The transcript is spliced from 7 exons. The record is from RefSeq and is a predicted model, not a curated record. NCBI's taxonomy places the organism in Eukaryota, Viridiplantae, Streptophyta, Magnoliopsida, Asterales, Asteraceae.
ACCCGACUUUAUUUGUACGUGCGUUUCUUUUCCAAAACGAGAGCCUCCAUCUCCAUCUCCAUCUCCAUUCUCCAUCUCCAUUCCAAUGAUCAUCUCCUCACAUGUCUUUCCUAAUAAAUUCCAUCUGAGCAUCGUGAAUCCUUCAUUCGUUUCAUUCAACACGGCUAUUCUGACCCAAAUCAAAGGACGCUUCUUUCUAAACCCUAGCCUCCUUCAUCUCGCUCUUCUGGAUCAAUCAUAUUCUCAUCAAAUGGUUCAAUAAUCAGGUAUGAUUCCUUUCAAUCACAGGUAUGAUUCCUUCAACCAACUUUAAUCUGAUUCUUGAUUAUGUUAGUUUUUUUUAAUUGUAAUGAAGUUGAAGAUUUUAGUGACUCUGGUUCAAGGUCACGGAGUAUAGACUUUCGGCUCCGAACCGAUAUAUCACCGAGAUAUCACCGAUAUUAACUGCAUAGGGCUAACUAUGUAUUGAAGAACUUGCUAAACUAUCACAAUGAAGGUACGUUGGAAUCUUCACAGCCCACGCGUAUUUCCUAAACCCUAGCUAUCAAAAUCAUCUUCCUUCUUGACUAUUCUACGAUCCAGACGCAAUCAGAUGCAGUCUUUUCAAGUGCAGUUUGUAUGUCUCGCAACGUCAGUUAUCCUGUUCGACUUGGAUUUAAGCGAACUUCAAUAGUCAUUAUCCCCUCGGUAUUAAGGUUGGUGCAGUUCGUUCAUUCGAGAAUAUCCAAUUCUGCAUCUCAACAGAUUUGCUAGCUCUCAUUGAGGUUCUUACCAUCUAGUGUCCAAAUAAUCUUGUGGGGAUCACACAAAUUACUCAAGUUUUUCAAGAUACUAACAUUGGUUAAUCAAGAUAAUGACAAAACUGCACUUCAGGCCGUCUCUCACGGGAGUUCAGUACAUGAUAUAGUGUAUAUGCUCUUUAAUGGAUUGUAGAAGUUAAUGGGAAACUAACUCUUAAUGUAACAAAGGUACAUAUUAUAAAUGCUUUUAUUAAUGAGGUCACAAUGGAUAUGGUUUAGCAUGUUGUGGUCUAGAGUUGACAAAAAUUUCUAAUAUUUUCAUUUUUAUAUUCAUAAAAAGAUUUAAGGGUG